This 2184-nucleotide ribosomal RNA is filed under the name Escherichia coli. RNAcentral's name for it is "partial 23S ribosomal RNA". It matches the Rfam family "Bacterial large subunit ribosomal RNA", at positions 1 to 2211 of the family's 2925-position model. The record is from RNAcentral. Lineage: Bacteria; Pseudomonadati; Pseudomonadota; Gammaproteobacteria; Enterobacterales; Enterobacteriaceae.
GUUAAGCGACUAAGCGUACACGGUGGAUGCCCUGGCAGUCAGAGGCGAUGAAGGACGUGCUAAUCUGCGAUAAGCGUCGGUGAGGUGAUAUGAACCGUUAUAACCGGCGAUUUCCGAAUGGGGAAACCCAGUGUGUUUCGACACACUAUCAUUAACUGAAUCCAUAGGUUAAUGAGGCGAACCGGGGGAACUGAAACAUCUAAGUACCCCGAGGAAAAGAAAUCAACCGAGAUUCCCCCAGUAGCGGCGAGCGAACGGGGAGGAGCCCAGAGCCUGAAUCAGUGUGUGUGUUAGUGGAAGCGUCUGGAAAGGCGCGCGAUACAGGGUGACAGCCCCGUACACAAAAAUGCACAUAUUGUGAGCUCGAUGAGUAGGGCGGGACACGUGGUAUCCUGUCUGAAUAUGGGGGGACCAUCCUCCAAGGCUAAAUACUCCUGACUGACCGAUAGUGAACCAGUACCGUGAGGGAAAGGCGAAAAGAACCCCGGCGAGGGGAGUGAAAAAGAACCUGAAACCGUGUACGUACAAGCAGUGGGAGCCUCUUAAUGGGGUGACUGCGUACCUUUUGUAUAAUGGGUCAGCGACUUAUAUUCUGUAGCAAGGUUAACCGAAUAGGGGAGCCGAAGGGAAACCGAGUCUUAACUGGGCGUUAAGUUGCAGGGUAUAGACCCGAAACCCGGUGAUCUAGCCAUGGGCAGGUUGAAGGUUGGGUAACACUAACUGGAGGACCGAACCGACUAAUGUUGAAAAAUUAGCGGAUGACUUGUGGCUGGGGGUGAAAGGCCAAUCAAACCGGGAGAUAGCUGGUUCUCCCCGAAAGCUAUUUAGGUAGCGCCUCGUGAAUUCAUCUCCGGGGGUAGAGCACUGUUUCGGCAAGGGGGUCAUCCCGACUUACCAACCCGAUGCAAACUGCGAAUACCGGAGAAUGUUAUCACGGGAGACACACGGCGGGUGCUAACGUCCGUCGUGAAGAGGGAAACAACCCAGACCGCCAGCUAAGGUCCCAAAGUCAUGGUUAAGUGGGAAACGAUGUGGGAAGGCCCAGACAGCCAGGAUGUUGGCUUAGAAGCAGCCAUCAUUUAAAGAAAGCGUAAUAGCUCACUGGUCGAGUCGGCCUGCGCGGAAGAUGUAACGGGGCUAAACCAUGCACCGAAGCUGCGGCAGCGACACUAUGUGUUGUUGGGUAGGGGAGCGUUCUGUAAGCCUGUGAAGGUGGCCUGUGAGGGUUGCUGGAGGUAUCAGAAGUGCGAAUGCUGACAUAAGUAACGAUAAAGCGGGUGAAAAGCCCGCUCGCCGGAAGACCAAGGGUUCCUGUCCAACGUUAAUCGGGGCAGGGUGAGUCGACCCCUAAGGCGAGGCCGAAAGGCGUAGUCGAUGGGAAACAGGUUAAUAUUCCUGUACUUGGUGUUACUGCGAAGGGGGGACGGAGAAGGCUAUGUUGGCCGGGCGACGGUUGUCCCGGUUUAAGCGUGUAGGCUGGUUUUCCAGGCAAAUCCGGAAAACCAAGGCUGAGGCGUGAUGACGAGGCACUACGGUGCUGAAGCGACAAAUGCCCUGCUUCCAGGAAAAGCCUCUAAGCAUCAGGUAACAUCAAAUCGUACCCCAAACCGACACAGGUGGUCAGGUAGAGAAUACCAAGGCGCUUGAGAGAACUCGGGUGAAGGAACUAGGCAAAAUGGUGCCGUAACUUCGGGAGAAGGCACGCUGAUAUGUAGGUGAAGCGACUUGCUCGUGGAGCUGAAAUCAGUCGAAGAUACCAGCUGGCUGCAACUGUUUAUUAAAAACACAGCACUGUGCAAACACGAAAGUGGACGUAUACGGUGUGACGCCUGCCCGGUGCCGGAAGGUUAAUUGAUGGGGUUAGCGGCAACGCGAAGCUCUUGAUCGAAGCCCCGGUAAACGGCGGCCGUAACUAUAACGGUCCUAAGGUAGCGAAAUUCCUUGUCGGGUAAGUUCCGACCUGCACGAAUGGCGUAAUGAUGGCCAGGCUGUCUCCACCCGAGACUCAGUGAAAUUGAACUCGCUGUGAAGAUGCAGUGUACCCGCGGCAAGACGGAAAGACCCCGUGAACCUUUACUAUAGCUUGACACUGAACAUUGAGCCUUGAUGUGUAGGAUAGGUGGGAGGCUUUGAAGUGUGGACGCCAGUCUGCAUGGAGCCGACCUUGAAAUACCACCCUUUAAU